This 69-nucleotide transfer RNA is filed under the name Bifidobacterium adolescentis. RNAcentral describes it as "tRNA-Ser". It matches the Rfam family "tRNA". Rfam says of the family: Transfer RNA (tRNA) molecules are approximately 80 nucleotides in length. Their secondary structure includes four short double-helical elements and three loops (D, anti-codon, and T loops). Further hydrogen bonds mediate the characteristic L-shaped molecular structure. tRNAs have two regions of fundamental functional importance: the anti-codon, which is responsible for specific mRNA codon recognition, and the 3' end, to which the tRNAs corresponding amino acid is attached (by aminoacyl-tRNA synthetases). tRNAs cope with the degeneracy of the genetic code in two manners: having more than one tRNA (with a specific anti-codon) for a particular amino acid; and 'wobble' base-pairing, i.e. permitting non-standard base-pairing at the 3rd anti-codon position. The record is from RNAcentral. Lineage: Bacteria; Bacillati; Actinomycetota; Actinomycetes; Bifidobacteriales; Bifidobacteriaceae.
GUGGAUGGGGCUCCAUGUAAUCAGUCUUCCAAACUGAUUACGCGGGUUCGAUUCCCGUCAUCCGCUCCA